GCCCGCCUAGCUCAAUCGGAUAGAGCGUCAGACUCUUAUGGUCUGGGACGGGUUGCUGUUCCUAUCAUUAGGAUAUCUGAAGGCUGCGAGUUCGACCCUCGCGGUGGGCU
Coprinopsis cinerea okayama7#130 is the source of this 110-nucleotide transfer RNA. It matches the Rfam family "tRNA". From Rfam's summary of the family: Transfer RNA (tRNA) molecules are approximately 80 nucleotides in length. Their secondary structure includes four short double-helical elements and three loops (D, anti-codon, and T loops). Further hydrogen bonds mediate the characteristic L-shaped molecular structure. tRNAs have two regions of fundamental functional importance: the anti-codon, which is responsible for specific mRNA codon recognition, and the 3' end, to which the tRNAs corresponding amino acid is attached (by aminoacyl-tRNA synthetases). tRNAs cope with the degeneracy of the genetic code in two manners: having more than one tRNA (with a specific anti-codon) for a particular amino acid; and 'wobble' base-pairing, i.e. permitting non-standard base-pairing at the 3rd anti-codon position. The record is from Rfam. NCBI's taxonomy places the organism in Eukaryota, Fungi, Basidiomycota, Agaricomycetes, Agaricales, Psathyrellaceae.